UACGGGGGGGGCAAGCGUUGUUCGGAAUUACUGGGCGGAAAGGGCUUGUAGGUGGCCAACUAAGUCAGACGUGAAAUCCCUCGGCUUAACCGGGGAACUGCGUCUGAUACUGGAUGGCUAGAGAUUGGGAGAGGGAUGCGGAAUUCCAGGUGUAGCGGUGAAAUGCGUAGAUAUCUGGAGGAACACCGGUGGCGAAGGCGGCUUUCUGGACAAAUACCGACGCUGAGGCACGAAAGCUAGGGGAGCAAACAGG
RNAcentral lists this ribosomal RNA (253 nucleotides) under uncultured bacterium. RNAcentral describes it as "partial 16S ribosomal RNA". It matches the Rfam family "Bacterial small subunit ribosomal RNA", at positions 524 to 776 of the family's 1533-position model. The record is from RNAcentral.